GAUGAACGCUGGCGGCGUGCCUAAUACAUACAAGUCGAGCGAACGGACGAGAAGCUUGCUUCUCUGAUGUUAGCGGCGGACGGGUGAGUAACACGUGGAUAACCUACCUAUAAGACUGGGAUAACUUCGGGAAACCGGAGCUAAUACCGGAUAAUAUUUUGAACCGCAUGGUUCAAAAGUGGAAGACGGUCUUGCUGUCACUUAUAGAUGGAUCCGCGCUGCAUUAGCUAGUUGGUAAGGUAACGGCUUACCAAGGCAACGAUGCAUAGCCGACCUGAGAGGGUGAUCGGCCACACUGGAACUGAGACACGGUCCAGACUCCUACGGGAGGCAGCAGUAGGGAAUCUUCCGCAAUGGGCGAAAGCCUGACGGAGCAACGCCGCGUGAGUGAUGAAGGUCUUCGGAUCGUAAAACUCUGUUAUUAGGGAAGAACAUAUGUGUAAGUAACUGUGCACAUCUUGACGGUACCUAAUCAGAAAGCCACGGCUAACUACGUG
Molecule: ribosomal RNA, 497 nt
Filed under: uncultured bacterium
Lineage: Bacteria
Description: partial 16S ribosomal RNA
Rfam family: Bacterial small subunit ribosomal RNA
Source: RNAcentral